UGCAACUGAAGAGUUUGAUCAUGGCUCAGAUUGAACGCUGGCGGCAGGCCUAACACAUGCAAGUCGAGCGGCAGCACGGGAAGCUUGCUUCCUGGUGGCGAGCGGCGGACG
RNAcentral lists this ribosomal RNA (111 nucleotides) under Modicisalibacter muralis. RNAcentral describes it as "Halomonas muralis 16S rRNA. Bacterial SSU". It matches the Rfam family "Bacterial small subunit ribosomal RNA", at positions 1 to 104 of the family's 1533-position model. Lineage: Bacteria; Pseudomonadati; Pseudomonadota; Gammaproteobacteria; Oceanospirillales; Halomonadaceae. The record is from RNAcentral.